UGGGGAAUUUUGGACAAUGGGGGAAACCCUGAUCCAGCCAUCCCGCGUGUGCGAUGAAGGCCUUCGGGUUAUAAAGCACUUUUGGCAGGAAAGAAACGUCGCGGGUUAAUACCCCGCGAAACUGACGGUACCUGCAGAAUAAGCACCGGCUAACUACGUGCCAGCAGCCGCGGUAAUACGUAGGGUGCAAGCGUUAAUCGGAAUUACUGGGCGUAAAGCGUGCGCAGGCGGUUCGGAAAGAAAGAUGUGAAAUCCCAGAGCUUAACUUUGGAACUGCAUUUUUAACUACCGGGCUAGAGUGUGUCAGAGGGAGGUGGAAUUCCGCGUGUAGCAGUGAAAUGCGUAGAUAUGCGGAGGAACACCGAUGGCGAAGGCAGCCUCCUGGGAUAACACCGACGCUCAUGCACGAAAGCGUGGGGAGCAAACAGGAUUAGAUACCCUGGUAGUCCACGCCCUAAACGAUGUCAACUAGCUGUUGGGGCCUUCGGGCCUUGGUAGCGCAGCUAACGCGUGAAGUUGACCGCCUGGGGAGUACGGUCGCAAGAUUAAAACUCAAAUGAAUUGACGGGGUCAUAGCUGUUUCCU
This 585-nucleotide ribosomal RNA is filed under the name uncultured bacterium. Its description in RNAcentral is "partial 16S ribosomal RNA". It matches the Rfam family "Bacterial small subunit ribosomal RNA", at positions 355 to 1375 of the family's 1533-position model. The record is from RNAcentral.